GAUGAACGCUAGCGGCAGGCCUAAUACAUGCAAGUCGGACGGGAUUCAGGAGCUUGCUUCUGAUGAGAGUGGCGCACGGGUGCGUAACACGUAUGUAACCUACCUUUAUCAGGGGGAUAGCCUCUCGAAAGAGAGACUAAGCCCGCAUAAAAUCACAGCACAGCAUUGUGUAAUGAUCAAAUAUUUAUAGGAUAAAGAUGGGCAUGCGGAACAUUAGCUAGAUGGCGGGGUAACGGCCCACCAUGGCGACGAUGUUUAGGGGAUCUGAGAGGAUGGCCCCCCACACUGGUACUGAGACACGGACCAGACUCCUACGGGAGGCAGCAGUAAGGAAUAUUGGGCAAUGGGCGGAAGCCUGAACCAGCCAUGCCGCGUGCAGGAAGACGGCCCUACGGGUUGUAAACUGCUUUUAUACGGGAAUAAACCCAGAUACGUGUAUCUGGCUGAAUGUACUGUAAGAAUAAGGAUCGGCUAACUCCGUG
Molecule: ribosomal RNA, 482 nt
Filed under: uncultured bacterium
Lineage: Bacteria
Description: partial 16S ribosomal RNA
Rfam family: Bacterial small subunit ribosomal RNA
Source: RNAcentral